GACGAACGCUGGCGGCGUGCUUAACACAUGCCAGUCGAACGGAAAGGCCCUGCUUUUGUGGGGUGCUCGAGUGGCGAACGGGUGAGUAACACGUGAGUAACCUGCCCUUGACUUUGGGAUAACUUCAGGAAACUGGGGCUAAUAUCGGAUAGGAGCUCCUGCUGCAUGGUGGGGGUUGGAAAGUUUCGGCGGUUGGGGAUGGACUCGCGGCUUAUCAGCUUGUUGGUGGGGUAGUGGCUUACCAAGGCUUUGACGGGUAGCCGGCCUGAGAGGGUGACCGGCCACAUUGGGACUGAGAUACGGCCCAGACUCCUACGGGAGGCAGCAGUGGGGAAUAUUGCACAAUGGGCGGAAGCCUGAUGCAGCAACGCCGCGUGCGGGAUGACGGCCUUCGGGUUGUAAACCGCUUUCGCCUGUGACGAAGCGGGAGUGACGGUAAUGGGUAAAGAAGCACCGGCUAACUACGUG
RNAcentral lists this ribosomal RNA (468 nucleotides) under uncultured bacterium. RNAcentral describes it as "partial 16S ribosomal RNA". It matches the Rfam family "Bacterial small subunit ribosomal RNA", at positions 28 to 507 of the family's 1533-position model. The record is from RNAcentral.